Molecule: long non-coding RNA, 202 nt
Filed under: Hordeum vulgare
Lineage: Eukaryota; Viridiplantae; Streptophyta; Magnoliopsida; Poales; Poaceae
Description: long non-coding RNA (HVUL_LNC004576)
Source: RNAcentral
GUUUUUCUUCUUUUUCAGGGAGGCUUUGGUUUUCUUGGGAGCCACAUUUUGUUGUUUCCGUUUCCAAAAGGGCGAGUUCUUCUGCAACAAUAUUUACAAGGAAAGGUGAGUUUUAAAGCACUAAAGAAAUGCAUAAGGAAUGCAGGAGAUGUUAAAGGUUAUUUACCUCGAGAGUCGGGUCCUGAGUAUAGAACAACUUCAG